GUGUCAGCAGCCGCGGUAAUACGGAGAGUGCAAACGUUGUUCGGAUUCACUGGGCGUAAAGGGCACGUAGGCGGCCAGGCAAAUCGAUCGUGAAAUACCGACGCUCACCGUCGGUGCGGCGGUCGAAAAUACCUGGCUUGAGGAUGUGAGAGGUCGCUGGAACUUCUGGUGGAGCGGUGAAAUGCGUAGAUAUCAGAAGGAACGCCGGCGGCGAAAGCGGGCGACUGGCGCAUUCCUGACGCUGAGGUGCGAAAGCUGGGGGAGCAAACAGGAUUAGAUACCCCCGUAGUCC
Molecule: ribosomal RNA, 292 nt
Filed under: uncultured bacterium
Lineage: Bacteria
Description: partial 16S ribosomal RNA
Rfam family: Bacterial small subunit ribosomal RNA
Source: RNAcentral